AAUGAACGCUGGCGGCAUGCCUAACACAUGCAAGUCGAACGAAGGCUUCGGCCUUAGUGGCGCACGGGUGCGUAACGCGUGGGAAUCUACCCUUAGGUUCGGAAUAACAGUUGGAAACGACUGCUAAUACCGGAUGAUGACGUAAGUCCAAAGAUUUAUCGCCUAGGGAUGAGCCCGCGUAGGAUUAGCUAGUUGGUGUGGUAAAGGCGCACCAAGGCGACGAUCCUUAGCUGGUCUGAGAGGAUGAUCAGCCACACUGGGACUGAGACACGGCCCAGACUCCUACGGGAAGCAGCAGUGGGGAAUAUUGGACAAUGGGCGAAAGCCUGAUCCAGCGAUGCCGCGUGAGUGAUGAAGGCCUUAGGGUUGUAAAGCUCUUUUACCCGGGAUGAUAAUGGCAGUACCGGGAGAAUAAGCUCCGGCUAACUCCGUG
This 433-nucleotide ribosomal RNA is filed under the name uncultured bacterium. Its description in RNAcentral is "partial 16S ribosomal RNA". It matches the Rfam family "Bacterial small subunit ribosomal RNA", at positions 29 to 507 of the family's 1533-position model. The record is from RNAcentral.